UACGUAGGUGGCAAGCGUUGUCCGGAUUUACUGGGCGUAAAGAGCGCGCAGGCGGUCGAUUAAGUCGAGUGUGAAAGCCCCCGGCUCAACUGGGGAGGGUCGCUUGAUACUGGUCGACUCGAAGGCAGGAGAGGGAAGUGGAAUUCCCGGUGUAGUGGUGAAAUGCGUAGAUAUCGGGAGGAACACCAGUGGCGAAGGCGACUCCCUGGCCUGUUCUUGACGCUGAGGCGCGAAAGCUAGGGGAGCAAACGGG
Molecule: ribosomal RNA, 253 nt
Filed under: uncultured bacterium
Lineage: Bacteria
Description: partial 16S ribosomal RNA
Rfam family: Bacterial small subunit ribosomal RNA
Source: RNAcentral